AUAUCCGAGUACAUACAUAUGUAUUUUCUAUGUUUUCUUUCAUUUUGGUGUCACUUUUUAGAUGCAAAGUCUUUUCUAAAAGUCAAUUCAAUAACGUCAAGUACACUCAAUGUUGAAACUUAUAAUACGUUCACAUAUGAGUAGAUGAUCUACUUUUUCGCGCUUAACUCAAAAUCCGUAAUUAAAAAGCGCGAUUUCCCAUACAAAAUUUCUCUCUCAAAAUCUGAGAUUAUAAAAUAAUCCCAGAUAAUAACGAUACUUAUUGGCAUAGAACCCUGUGUUUUCUGUAUUAUCGAUAAUUAUUAUUACGAAUGUAAGGAGAAACAUCAAAAUAAAAACUAAAUGAAAUGGAUGUCGGCAAAGAAAACAGUGCUUAGAAGUUCUGGAUAUUUUUGAUGGACAAAUGAGACAACGCAUCCUUCUUUUUGGGGCAGAUGGAUAGAACCUUGGAUACCUUUUCACCUUAGAAAAAAAUACUCUAGAUUUUAUAAACAAGUAAACUUAAAAGUGUGUCCGCGAGACAGUUGUAAAUUGUUAAGGGUUAACCAGCCUUUGGUUGAGGAGGCAGUUUAGGAAUUGGCUUAAUACGAAAUAGCUAAACAGUUCGAGUUUGAAAUUCUAGCUGCAGCUCGCAUACUCGUAAACACUUUUUAAAACACUUACGCAUAAUACUUGAUGAUUUUAUUGAAUAUCGUUCCUAACAUGGGCAUUAAUGUACCUUCGUACCGCUCAUCAGCUUUCUAACGAACCAUUUAACAAAGCGGUAAUAAUCUUACUGUUUUACCUGUAUAGGAAAUUUCUGCCCGGCAAAAUAGUCCGAAAUUAUCAGAUGACUACACCCAAGCUACAUUCCUGCUCUGCUCCAUAGUUGCCGUUUUGGUUUCUCAGCAAGAGCGCAAAAAAAGGGUCCCAUGCCCCGCUUAACUUUUUUUUGUUUUAUUUUGUUAAAUUAUUUAGAUAUUAUUUGAAUCAAAAGUAUCAAUACAUAUACACAAAUGGCAAAGUAAAUGUACGAAUGUAAACAAAACAAAUCAUUUUAUCGUUAUUCGGCGAAAAGAUCAGUUGGGUGCAUGCCGUAACCUGUAAUGAAUCCGCCUUGCGCACAGUGCUGUUGGAAAUAAAGCAAAAGUACAUACAUAUAUGUAUGUGUGUACAUAUGUAAUAGAAGUCUUUGACAUAUAAAAAUAUAAGAACACCACGUGAUGUGACUUUUUACAUGUUUUACAUAACCAGACGUAAAUCAAACUUAAGGUA
Molecule: long non-coding RNA, 1254 nt
Organism: Anastrepha ludens (Mexican fruit fly)
Lineage: Eukaryota; Metazoa; Arthropoda; Insecta; Diptera; Tephritidae
Exons: 3
Source: RefSeq, a predicted model, not a curated record